RNAcentral lists this ribosomal RNA (269 nucleotides) under uncultured Planctomycetales bacterium. RNAcentral describes it as "partial 16S ribosomal RNA". It matches the Rfam family "Bacterial small subunit ribosomal RNA", at positions 565 to 832 of the family's 1533-position model. The record is from RNAcentral. Lineage: Bacteria; Pseudomonadati; Planctomycetota; Planctomycetia; Planctomycetales.
GAGCACGUAGGUGGGUUUGUAAGUCAGAUGUGAAAGCCUUCUGUUCAACGGAAGAAUUGCAUCUGAAACUGCGAGUCUUGAGUGUAGGAGGGGAGAAUGGAAUUUCUGGUGGAGCGGUGAAAUGCGUAGAUAUCAGAAGGAACGCCGGCGGCGAAAGCGAUUCUCUGGCCUAUUACUGACACUCAGUGUGCGAAAGCUAGGGGAGCAAACGGGAUUAGAUACCCCGGUAGUCCUAGCCGUAAACGAUGGGCACUAAGUAGAGGGGUUUU